This 533-nucleotide ribosomal RNA is filed under the name uncultured bacterium. Its description in RNAcentral is "bacterial SSU rRNA". It matches the Rfam family "Bacterial small subunit ribosomal RNA", at positions 777 to 1308 of the family's 1533-position model. The record is from RNAcentral.
AAUAGAUACCCAGGUAGUCCACGCCGUAAACGAUGAGUGCUAAGUGUUAGAGGGCUUCCACCCUUUAGUGCUGCAGCUAACGCAUUAAGCACUCCGCCUGGGGAGUACGGCCGCAAGGCUGAAACUCAAAGGAAUUGACGGGGGCCCGCACAAGCGGUGGAGCAUGUGGUUUAAUUCGAAGCAACGCGAAGAACCUUACCAGGUCUUGACAUCCUUCGCUACCUCUAGAGAUAGAGGGUUCCCCUUCGGGGGACGGAGUGACAGGUGGUGCAUGGUUGUCGUCAGCUCGUGUCGUGAGAUGUUGGGUUAAGUCCCGCAACGAGCGCAACCCUUGACCUUAGUUGCCAGCAUUCAGUUGGGCACUCUAAGGUGACUGCCGGUGACAAACCGGAGGAAGGUGGGGAUGACGUCAAAUCAUCAUGCCCCUUAUGACCUGGGCUACACACGUGCUACAAUGGAUGGUACAAAGGGUCGCGAAACCGCGAGGUGGAGCCAAUCCCAAAAAACCAUUCUCAGUUCGGAUUGCAGGCUGC